AAAGAACCCCGGCGAGGGGAGUGAAAAAGAACCUGAAACCGUGUACGUACAAGCAGUGGGAGCACCCUUUGGGGUGUGACUGCGUACCUUUUGUAUAAUGGGUCAGCGACUUAUAUUCUGUAGCAAGGUUAACCGAAUAGGGGAGCCGGAGGGAAACCGAGUCUUAAUUGGGCGUUAAGUUGCAGGGUAUAGACCCGAAACCCGGUGAUCUAGCCAUGGGCAGGUUGAAGGUUGGGUAACACUAACUGGAGGACCGAACCGACUAAUGUUGAAAAAUUAGCGGAUGACCUGUGGCUGGGGGUGAAAGGCCAAUCAAACCGGGAGAUAGCUGGUUCUCCCCGAAAGCUAUUUAGGUAGCGCCUCGUGAAUUCAUCUCCGGGGGUAGAGCACUGUUUCGGCUAGGGGGCCAUCCCGGCUUACCAACCCGAUGCAAACUGCGAAUACCGGAGAAUGUUAUCACGGGAGACACACGGCGGGUGCUAACGUCCGUCGUGAAGAGGGAAACAACCCAGACCGCCAGCUAAGGUCCCAAAGUCAUGGUUAAGUGGGAAACGAUGUGGGAAGGCCCAGACAGCCAGGAUGUUGGCUUAGAAGCAGCCAUCAUUUAAAGAAAGCGUAAUAGCUCACUGGUCGAGUCGGCCUGCGCGGAAGAUGUAACGGGGCUAAACCAUGCACCGAAGCUGCGGCAGCGACGCUGAUGCGUUGUUGGGUAGGGGAGCGUUCUGUAAGCCUGCGAAGGUGGCCUGUGAGGGUUGCUGGAGGUAUCAGAAGUGCGAAUGCUGACAUAAGUAACGAUAAAGCGGGUGAAAAGCCCGCUCGCCGGAAGACCAAGGGUUCCUGUCCAACGUUAAUCGGGGCAGGGUGAGUCGACCCCUAAGGCGAGGCCGAAAGGCGUAGUCGAUGGGAAACGGGUUAAUAUUCCCGUACUUGGUGUUACUGCGAAGGGGGGACGGAGAAGGCUAUGUUGGCCGGGCGACGGUUGUCCCGGUUUAAGCGUGUAGGUGUGUGUUCCAGGUAAAUCCGGUUCACUUUAACACUGAGGCGUGAUGACGAGGCACUACGGUGCUGAAGCAACAAAUGCCCUGCUUCCAGGAAAAGCCUCUAAGCAUCAGGUAACAUCAAAUCGUACCCCAAACCGACACAGGUGGUCAGGUAGAGAAUACCAAGGCGCUUGAGAGAACUCGGGUGAAGGAACUAGGCAAAAUGGUGCCGUAACUUCGGGAGAAGGCACGCUGACACGUAGGUGAAGUGAUUUACUCAUGGAGCUGAAGUCAGUCGAAGAUACCAGCUGGCUGCAACUGUUUAUUAAAAACACAGCACUGUGCAAACACGAAAGUGGACGUAUACGGUGUGACGCCUGCCCGGUGCCGGAAGGUUAAUUGAUGGGGUCAGCGCAAGCGAAGCUCCUGAUCGAAGCCCCGGUAAACGGCGGCCGUAACUAUAACGGUCCUAAGGUAGCGAAAUUCCUUGUCGGGUAAGUUCCGACCUGCACGAAUGGCGUAAUGAUGGCCAGGCUGUCUCCACCCGAGACUCAGUGAAAUUGAACUCGCUGUGAAGAUGCAGUGUACCCGCGGCAAGACGGAAAGACCCCGUGAACCUUUACUAUAGCUUGACACUGAACAUUGAGCCUUGAUGUGUAGGAUAGGUGGGAGGCUUUGAAGUGUGGACGCCAGUCUGCAUGGAGCCGGCCUUGAAAUACCACCCUUUAAUGUUUGAUGUUCUAACGUGGACCCGUGAUCCGGGUUGCGGACAGUGUCUGGUGGGUAGUUUGACUGGGGCGGUCUCCUCCUAAAGAGUAACGGAGGAGCACGAAGGUUGGCUAAUCCUGGUCGGACAUCAGGAGGUUAGUGCAAUGGCAUAAGCCAGCUUGACUGCGAGCGUGACGGCGCGAGCAGGUGCGAAAGCAGGUCAUAGUGAUCCGGUGGUUCUGAAUGGAAGGGCCAUCGCUCAACGGAUAAAAGGUACUCCGGGGAUAACAGGCUGAUACCGCCCAAGAGUUCAUAUCGACGGCGGUGUUUGGCACCUCGAUGUCGGCUCAUCACAUCCUGGGGCUGAAGUAGGUCCCAAGGGUAUGGCUGUUCGCCAUUUAAAGUGGUACGCGAGCUGGGUUUAGAACGUCGUGAGACAGUUCGGUCCCUAUCUGCCGUGGGCGCUGGAGAACUGAGGGGGGCUGCUCCUAGUACGAGAGGACCGGAGUGGACGCAUCACUGGUGUUCGGGUUGUCAUGCCAAUGGCACUGCCCGGUAGCUAAAUGCGGAAGAGAUAAGUGCUGAAAGCAUCUAAGCACGAAACUUGCCCCGAGAUGAGUUCUCCCUGAGACUUAGAGUCUCCUGAAGGAACGUUGAAGACGACGACGUUGAUAGGCCGGGUGUGUAAGCGCAGCGAUGCGUUGAGCUAACCGGUACUAAUGAACCGUGAGGCUUAACCUUACA
RNAcentral lists this ribosomal RNA (2432 nucleotides) under Salmonella enterica subsp. enterica serovar Give. Its description in RNAcentral is "partial 23S ribosomal RNA". It matches the Rfam family "Bacterial large subunit ribosomal RNA", at positions 518 to 2925 of the family's 2925-position model. Lineage: Bacteria; Pseudomonadati; Pseudomonadota; Gammaproteobacteria; Enterobacterales; Enterobacteriaceae. The record is from RNAcentral.